This 445-nucleotide ribosomal RNA is filed under the name uncultured bacterium. RNAcentral describes it as "partial 16S ribosomal RNA". It matches the Rfam family "Bacterial small subunit ribosomal RNA", at positions 354 to 796 of the family's 1533-position model. The record is from RNAcentral.
GUGAGGAAUAUUGGUCAAUGGUCGGAAGACUGAACCAGCCAUGCCGCGUGCAGGAAGACGGUCCUAUGGAUUGUAAACUGCUUUUAUUCGGGGAUAAACCUCCUUACGUGUAGGGAGCUGAAGGUACCGAAAGAAUAAGCACCGGCUAACUCCGUGCCAGCAGCCGCGGUAAUACGGAGGGUGCAAGCGUUAUCCGGAAUCAUUGGGUUUAAAGGGUCCGCAGGCGGGCUAUCAAGUCAGAGGUGAAAUCCCACAGCUUAACUGUGGAACUGCCUUUGAAACUGAUGGUCUUGAAUUAAGUGGGCGUUGGCGGAAUAUGACAUGUAGCGGUGAAAUGCAUAGAUAUGUCAUGGAACACCGAAAGCGAAGGCAGCUAACGAUACUUAUAUUGACGCUCAUGGACGAAAGCGUGGGUAGCGAACAGGAUUAGAUACCCGAGUAGUCC